GGGAUGUUUGGAAAUGCUCGGGUAGCAUGAAUAUUGUAGUCAGAAGCUGUUUUAUGAGUGAGCAAAACGCCCAUGGGAUAACUGGCUCGUGCUGGUAACAUUUCGUCGACGAAGCUGAUAAAAUUAGCGUAAUUAUAGUGUGAAUUAUGCUGAACAGCUUGCCCAGCCUUCCAUCGUCAUGCUGUGGGAUUCGUCUGCGCAUCAAAGUGCAAACAUUUGCGAUUUUUUAAUAGUUUCCAUCUUUUUAGAAAGAACUAGAUUAAUUAUGGUGUGAAGUAUGCUGAAAAGCUUGGUCAGAUAUUCACUGACAGUGGGAUUCGUUUAUGCAUCCAAUGGCUAAUAAUUGCGAUUCCUAUUAGCCACCAUUGUCACAUAUUUUGAGGGUAAUUCCACGCCACUGCAACAACUUCAUUUCCGCCCAAAUAAAUCCCAUGACCUUUUCCAACUGCAAUAGGAUGCAACAAUUACAUUGAUGACCAUAAACCCCCUAACGUUUACGAGCGAAUUCCGAACGCAUCGCUAGAGCUAAAACUAGCAAGAGUGAAACUUUGCUAUGUAUCCUCAUGUUGUACUCGUAUCACUUGUUACGGUUAAAAUCAGCCUGGCUCAAACACCAGAUUAACGUAGUUUCACAGAAAUGAGUGCGAUCCGAAAAAAAACAAACAAGAUCGAACACACCCGAGUUUUUUUUAUCAUAAGUUGGAAAAAUAUU
Long non-coding RNA from Anopheles merus, 712 nucleotides. RefSeq lists it as uncharacterized. The transcript is spliced from 3 exons. NCBI's taxonomy places the organism in Eukaryota, Metazoa, Arthropoda, Insecta, Diptera, Culicidae. The record is from RefSeq and is a predicted model, not a curated record.